AAUAAAAAAGAAACUUUCAUUUCCUGGUCACAGAAAAGAGAAUGCCCGAACAGGAGGAGGCCUUAGAAUAUGGAACAGAGAAUAUAAGAGCAAAGAUGGAUCUUGGAACACAGCCUUGCUGCCCCCAGGCUCAUGACUCUGAUGUAGACUUAUAGGUGACUUUCCUUGGUGGAUACUUGGUGUGUCUCUUGGUUUCCAGUGUAGAUUCUACCAUCAGCUAAAGCUGCUUCAU
Molecule: long non-coding RNA, 232 nt
Filed under: Monodelphis domestica (gray short-tailed opossum)
Lineage: Eukaryota; Metazoa; Chordata; Mammalia; Didelphimorphia; Didelphidae
Description: lncRNA (ENSMODG00000046401.1)
Source: RNAcentral